CUGCUGCCUCCCGUAGGAGUCUGGUCCGUGUCUCAGUACCAGUGUGGGGGGCCUUCCUCUCAGAACCCCUACGCAUCGUCGCCUCGGUGGGCCGUUACCCCGCCGACUAGCUAAUGCGCCGCAUGCCCAUCCGUGGCCGGGAUUGCUCCCUUUGGCGGCCUUGGGAUGUCCCUAGGCCGCGUUACGCGGUAUUAGACGGGGUUUCCCCCGCUUAUCCCCCCUGCCACGGGCAGGUUGCAUACGUGUUACUCACCCGUGCGCCGGUCGCCGGCAACGG
RNAcentral lists this ribosomal RNA (277 nucleotides) under uncultured bacterium. RNAcentral's name for it is "partial 16S ribosomal RNA". The record is from RNAcentral.